Molecule: ribosomal RNA, 462 nt
Filed under: uncultured bacterium
Lineage: Bacteria
Description: partial 16S ribosomal RNA
Rfam family: Bacterial small subunit ribosomal RNA
Source: RNAcentral
GAUGAACGCUGACAGAAUGCUUAACACAUGCAAGUCUUUGGCGAAGCUGUGCUUGCACAGCCUAGCCAAGGCGGACGGGUGAGUAACGCGUAAGGAACUUGCCCUGCAGUCAGGGAUAACAGACGGAAACGACUGAUAAGACCUGGUAAAGUCAGGCGGACUCAUGUCCAGCCUGAUGAAAAGAGAUGCUGCAGGAGAGCCUUGCGUCCUAUUAGCUUGUUGGUGGGGUAACGGCCCACCAAGGCGAUGAUAGGUAGCCGGCCUGAGAGGGUGGACGGCCACAAGGGGACUGAGAUACGGCCCUUACUCCUACGGGAGGCAGCAGUGGGGAAUAUUGGACAAUGGGGGCAACCCUGAUCCAGCAAUUCGGUGUGCACGAUGAAGGUUUUCGGAUUGUAAAGUGCUUUCAGCAGGGAAGAAAAAAUGACGGUACCUGCAGAAGAGGCGACGGCUAAAUACGUG